AGGUCAUGUCUACUGUACCUUUAUCACGGGUAGGCACUCGAUCAUGCUGUGGGUAUUCGGAUACCUUAGACGUUUAUCGUCGAGAGUGUGAUGUGAGGUCGGGUUCAAUGCCCG
Paenibacillus rhizosphaerae is the source of this 114-nucleotide regulatory RNA element. It matches the Rfam family "epsC RNA". Lineage: Bacteria; Bacillati; Bacillota; Bacilli; Caryophanales; Paenibacillaceae. The record is from Rfam.